This 173-nucleotide unclassified non-coding RNA is filed under the name soil metagenome. RNAcentral's name for it is "partial internal transcribed spacer 1". The record is from RNAcentral.
CAAGAAGCCGAAAGGCUACUUAAAACCAUCGCGAACUUAUCCAAGUUGCUUCGGCGGCGCGGCUCCCCUCACGGGGGACCGCAGCCCCCGCCUCUCAGGAGGUAAGGGGCAGCCGCCGGGGGUACGAAACUCUGUAUUAUAGUGGUAUCUCUGAGUAUAAAACAAAUAAGUUA